CCGUUCACCUAGGCUGGCCCCCAGCCCACAGCUUCUCUCCCACCGAGGAUGGGCACGGCUAAUUGGUGCACUGGAGCCAAAGCCCCAGGAUGUGAGCGGUACAGGCGAGAAGAAAAUGCCUUCCUCCCUCCUGAGCCUCUCAGGCCAGUCUGCCUCUGGAUGCUCCCUGGCUUUCCAGCAAUUUCCCCUUUCCCUCCCCCUCCAGUUUCAGCAGGGACAGCAAAGGCCUGGGACAGGACAUACAGCAGGAAGGUCAGCCCCCUCCUCUUCCACCCCGUGGGCCAGUGGGACCCGCACAGGGUGAGGGCAGGCUCCGGCCAAAACGGUGGUGUUGACCCUCAAGAGCUGGGAACCUGACCCACGGGAAGAGAACUGGAAAAAAUCUGGAAUGCUCAUUUUACAGGUACUGAGGAAGAGAAAACUUCUUGGGCUCUAAAAAGUUCCUCAGCUGUAAAAUGAAAGGGUUAGACAAAGACCUCUGAUAGUCCCUGUCCGAGGGAUCUGAUACUCUCUGUUCUAAGGCCCCUCCGGCUCUGACAUUCUGGGUUCUAAACUCCCCACCAGCUCCGACAUUCUCUGCUCUAAGGACUCUCCCAGUUCUGACAUUCUGAGUUCUAAGCUUCCUCCUAACUCUCAUAUUCUGGGUUCUAAGGUCCCUCUAAGCUCAGACAUUCUCUGUUCUAAGCUCUCUCCAAGCUCUAACAUUCUAGUUUCUAAGCUUCCUCCCAGUUCUGACAUUCUCUGUUCUAAGGUCUCUUCAGGCUCUGAUAGUCUCUGUUCUAAGUCUUCUCCCAGUUCUGACGCUCUCUGUUUUAAGACUUCUCCCAGUUCUAAGUUCCCUCCCAGUUCUGACAUUCUGGGUUCUAAGGUUUCUCCCAGCUUUGAAAUCCUCUGUUCUAAGGUCUCUUCCAGCUCUGACAUUUUGGGUUCUAAGGUCCCUCCCAGCUCUGACAUUCUCUGUUCUAAGCUCUCUCCCAGCUCUGACAUUCUCUGUUCUAAGGUCUCUCCCAGCUCUGACAUUCUGGGUUCUAAGGUCUCUCCCAGCUCUGACAUUCUCUGAAAUUCUGGGUUCUAAGGUCUCUCCCAGCUCUGACAUUCUGGAUUCUAAGGUCUCUCCCAGCUCUGACACUCUCUGUUCUAAGGUCUCUCCCAGCUCUAACAUUCUCUGUUCUAAGGUCUCUCCCAGCUCUGACAUUCUCUGUUCUAAGUUCCCUCUCAGCUCUGACAUUCUCUGUUCUAAGGUCCCUCCCAUCUUUGACAUUCUGGGUUCUAAGGUCCCUCCUAGCUCUGACAAUCUCUGUUCAAAGGGCCUUCCUAGCCAUGACAUCCUACACUCCUUCCACCUGGGUUGA
RNAcentral lists this long non-coding RNA (1352 nucleotides) under Monodelphis domestica (gray short-tailed opossum). RNAcentral's name for it is "lncRNA (ENSMODG00000048500.1)". Lineage: Eukaryota; Metazoa; Chordata; Mammalia; Didelphimorphia; Didelphidae. The record is from RNAcentral.